Molecule: non-coding RNA, 21 nt
Filed under: Arabidopsis thaliana (thale cress)
Lineage: Eukaryota; Viridiplantae; Streptophyta; Magnoliopsida; Brassicales; Brassicaceae
Source: RNAcentral
UCGAUCUCAAGCAUUCCCGCA